Molecule: unclassified non-coding RNA, 311 nt
Filed under: Polynucleobacter meluiroseus
Lineage: Bacteria; Pseudomonadati; Pseudomonadota; Betaproteobacteria; Burkholderiales; Burkholderiaceae
Description: Long range pseudoknot
Source: RNAcentral
ACAGAUGACGGUGAUUAUGGUGUGAAGUUACGCAAUCUCAUUCGCUUUUUGGAAGAUGGCGAUAAGACAAAGAUUACGCUACGGUUUCGGGGUCGUGAAAUGGCCCAUCAAGAAAUCGGAGUCAGAAUGUUGGAGCGUUUGAAGUUGGACCUGCAAGAGCAUGGCCAAGUUGAACAGUUUCCGAAGAUGGAGGGCCGCCAAAUGGUGAUGGUGUUGGCCCCCAUUCGUAAGGCUAAGUAAGUAGCGAUUCAUUAGAAUCUGCUACUUGUUUAAGUAGGGCGGAGUCGCAAGGCGCUGCAUGUAAUAAGUGC